Molecule: long non-coding RNA, 795 nt
Organism: Cornus florida
Lineage: Eukaryota; Viridiplantae; Streptophyta; Magnoliopsida; Cornales; Cornaceae
Exons: 3
Source: RefSeq, a predicted model, not a curated record
UCGAUAAAAACAUAAUAUAAGAUUUGACAAAAUAUUCUCUCAAACUAUUUUAGUUAUUUAGCAAGUAAUUUAUCUAAGCUGGAACCUUAUUCUAAAUUCAAACAGGAUUGCAAUAAUGGGUAAGUAUUUUAGUUUUUAUAAUACUAAGGGAUCAAUUCACUUUGGUGCUUGGACCAUGGCAAUAAAUAAUAAAAGCUCUUCAAGGCUUUUGCAUUCAAAAUUAAAUAAAAUAAUUAUUUUUUUUUUCUUUUCCACUAUUUUUUGUGAACACAAUUUAAUAUUAAUUAUGUCUUUUUUAAUUUCUUUUCUUUUUUCUUUUAUUUUUUUUUUUUCAUUUAUCAGCCAAACGCAUCUAGAGUCUACUCCAUCUUCCUUUUUCUUUUGUUUUCACUUAUAACUAAUCUUACUUUAUUUUCGUUUCUCAUUUUCUAUACCAAAAACAGUAUUUCAAGACAAUCUCUCUCUUUGAUAAAACAGAGGUACAGCGACACGAAGAAAAAUAUAAGAGAAAAUAAGCAACCAUUGAAGCAAUUAAAGACUUGCAUUUAUGAAACAUGGUCUCAAAUGGUCAUUAAUAUAUCACGAAGGAUGGAUGCUUCAAUAAGCUCUACCCUUCAAUAAGCUCAAGCCAAGGUCCAAUUUCUUCGCACAUAAUUUGUAGCUCCAAGACUCCUGCCCAGAUGGAGCAGCAAAGGACAAUGGACGAUCGCUGCAGAAAGCCACAUGAGCUGUAGACAAGUAGAGGGUUCCGGCGACAGGGCCAGUUGUGGUGGAAAGGUAACAGGCAAAUGUCUU